Malus domestica (apple) is the source of this 3248-nucleotide non-coding RNA. NCBI's taxonomy places the organism in Eukaryota, Viridiplantae, Streptophyta, Magnoliopsida, Rosales, Rosaceae. The record is from RefSeq and is a predicted model, not a curated record.
AAUUAAUUUACCUACUUUUUAUGGUAUUAGUAUACAUAAAUGUAGAAUAUAUGUCCGUAUAUAUUUGAUCUAAUUAGGUUUUGGAUUGGAGGAGUUGACACAAAAUUAUAAAUAUAUUAAACAAAUUUAUCUAUUCUAAAGUUGGAGGGGAAUUGGUCUGUACAUUGCUACAGUAAACAAAUGCUACUCAAUUUCACGUUAUUUACAACAAAGCUAUCAGAUUUGGGUUGGGUUGGAGGGUAAUUUGUUAAAAGUUAGGAGGGUAAUUUUGUGCAUAGGGUUUAGGUGCCCUCCUAUACAUGACCCUUGAGUUUACUUUAUUUACACCACUGCCAUCAAAUAUGUGGCUGAAUUGGAGGGUAUUAUUAAAAGUUAAGAGGGUAGUUUUGUUCAAGGGGUGGGGGCGACAUUCGCAGACGGAGGCCGAUGGGAGCCAUGCCCAUUGCACAGAGAGAAAGGGAGUGAUGGGGGAAAUUACAGACAGAAAAGGAAGGGAUGGGAGGAUUUGAUGGAUGGUCACAGAGAGAGAUUCGGUGAGGGAUGUGAGGGGAGAUUACAGAGAGAUAAAUAAAAGGGAGGGAUCGGGGGAUUUGAGGGAUGGUCAGAGAGAGAAAUAGUGAGGGAGGGAGGGAUGGGGGGGCUGAUUUUCGGUUCCUCCUUCAGAUUUGUUCCGUAAAACCUGUUGGGUACAAUUCAAUUUCCUCCCCCUUUCCCCUGAACGAAAAAUUCGAAACCUACAAUUCAAUUUCCUCCCUCCUUGGCUUUCCGCUUUACUCAUCUCCCGGUGGUUCUUUCUCUCCAUACGAUUCGAUUUCGGUGGGCCCGUUCACUAACUAAGCUUUCAAGGGAACCCAUCAGCGGUUUGCUUGCUGGGGGAAUUCGGAGACUACCAGUCAUGAUCUUCCGCUGCAGCAUCCAAAUUUUGCAUUUGUAAAUUGUCAAAGAAAAACGAAGUAUGAGGAAAUUAUAGGAGAUUGUGUCGGCUUUGGCCAUGAAGGGUAUCAGCAGCUUGUUCCCCCAUACAGAACCAGCAAUGCAAGAGCAGGAUCUGAUCAGUCAUGCCUGAAAAGGGCCAGUUUUAUGGCCCCGAUCUAGUGAUGCUUCUCAGUGACUGUGGUAAUUGCAGUUCAUUGCCACCAGUUGGUCAGCUACCUGCUCUGAAAGAGCUAUACGUAGAAGGGAUGAAAGUUGUUAAGAGUGUUGGUGUUGAGUUGUACGGGGGAAAUCAACCAUUUCAAUGUUUAGAGAAGCUAAAGUUUCGGGAGCUAUAGCAGCCUAGUCCAAGUGGAUGUGAAAGUCCAGACUUUCCUCAUCUUAAGGAGCUGGGGUUAUACGAAUGUCCGAAGCUGAGAGGAAACUUGCCCACUCAUCUUCCCUCCUUGAAAACACUUCAUGUGAACAAGUGUGAGGUUCUACAUAAAAACAGGGCCAGUAAUACCCUGAACGUGGAAUCCUUACGAGGAUCUCUUGAAAAACUGACAAUAAAUGGAUGCCCGGGUCUCUCAUUGUUACUAGAGUCGACGGAGACGCUGCCGUCGCUUCAGAAGCUUGAUAUUGAUAAUGUGGUGGGAAAGAGUUGUUGGCGCAAAUGGUGCACAACAGCAAUCGUCUUCAAAGUUUGACUUUAUAUAAAUGUUCCUCACCCUUGUCGUUCCUUACAAAUGGUCUGCCCACCACGCUGACAUCACUGAGCAUAACAGAUUGCAAGAAAUUAGAAUUCCCAUCACGUGAGAUGAUGGCCAAAUUGACUUCCCUUCAGUCUUUGCGUCUAUCCAACAGCUGUGAACGCAAAGGCUUGAGUAUUUGCAAUUGUUCUCUUUGGAAGCUUCUUUCCAGCCUUGACCUUCUUCUUGCCUGGUGCCUUCUCAUUGAGUAUUGGAGGAGCAUUAAAACACAGGGAGUACUAAUGUACUGAUUUUCUGGGAUUUUUUUUGUCCUUGCAGGAUUUUUGGUCUUUGAAAUGGAUCUCCACCCCACAUUUCACUAGUUCAAAUUCCAUAGAAGUUGGUUAUUGCAGAUUGCGUCUACAAUUAGAUCAGAGAUCAACUACUCUUUUGUUAUCCUGCAGAAGAUUGCUUUUGGGAAGGAUCUGAAGUAGUUUCUCUCUGGAUAGGAGAAACAAAGAGGAUGACACUUAUAACUGCCAUUCCCCAUCGGCCGUCUUCAAAUUUGGAUCACAAGAAGGGAGCAACAUAGGUGUUUUCCUUCUUUAUUUAGAUAUGGUUAGUGUAAAUAAUUGGACAAAAGAGCCAAACAAACCCUGUUCUCUCAAAUGGAGUUGAUGAUGUGGUCGACGGCCACCAGCCCCAACUCAAGAGUUUGGCCUUCAUAUAAUUGGAUUGUAGUAUAAUUUUAUUUUUGUUCAUUUCUUUUUUCCUUUAUAUAAGUGCAGGUGUUGUGAUGUUUUGAAUAAAGGGUGAUGAAAGGUGGUUCACACUUCCUCCUUACUUAAAGCAAGUGGAGAUGACGGUUUGUAUAAAAAGAAAAACUUGCCACGUACUUCAAUUUUCUAUUUUAUUAAUUAUUGUUUGGUUUUCCAAAUGUUGUAUUCACAAAGAGAGACCAAUUAUGUCUUUGAGAAACAAGUUUCUUUGUCUACAUUGCGAGAAUUUGCAGUUUGCAACUUUCAUUGGUUAUUAUAUUUGAUUGAGUUAAACUUGGAUUUCUGGAUUCUGACUUUUUCGUUUGUUUCUUUGUUGCAGAGUUGGCUUCAUUUCAUUCCAGGAACUCUCUAAAUAGGGCCAAGAACUCACUAAAUAGGUAGUCAAGAGGAAUUCAGUUUUGCCUUCAAUUUUUGCCUUCUGUUUACAUUCUUCCUGGAUGCACUCUCACCGCUUCUCUCGCUUACCACUUUUUUCUCACUCACCGCUUCAUCUCUUCUGUUGCUUACAAGGUGAAUGGAGAGAUUUACAACCAUGAAGAGCUGAGGAGCCGUUUGCCAAAUCAGAUUUAUAAGGUCUCAUCAAUUAUGAAUAAACGACUUUUCAUUCCCAAUGACCUUUAUCGUUUUUCUUAAUGGGUUAGCUGAACAUGAGGUAGAUGCUGACUUUAUCAAAUAUGAGAAUGUUUUAGGAUUUCAUUCUAAUUUUUUGGCUGUUUGAUUACUUUGCUUUUCGUAAUUUGUUUUGCUUAUCGUCAAUUGGAUGGGACAAAACAUAUUUUUGUAACCAGUUUGUACUUUUUUUUUUGGUGGAAACUAGCCAGUUUGUACUUUUACCAUCUCGGUUUUGAUGGAAUUGGAGCUUUCA